GUGCCCCUGCUCACAGCUGUGAGCACAGGCUUUGCACAGGCUGUCUGGAAACCGGCACAGCUACGUUCAUCAGAAGAAACAGUUGCAGCCGGACGCGGUGGCUCAUGCCUGUAAUCCCAACCCUUUGGGAGGCUGAGAUGAAGCGAAGGAUGAAUAUUAUCCCAGGCUAAAGUAAUGAAAAGUCCAGAAGCCAGCGAUGACAGAGAUGUGUGUGGAAGAAGGCUGUGAGCAUUUCCAUCAAACCCUGUGGAUUUCCGAAGAUCUUAUCCCGAAGAUAUGUGUUUGGCCAAUAAAACAGGAGUGCCUUCCCCUCUACCUGCCGGUCCCAUAGAAAAGGACGUCCUCCCCUGCAGACCCUGGCCUCCGUCACAGCACGCCCACUCUGUGCCCGCUGCAACCUCCUCUGACUCUCCCACUAGACCAGUGCCUGGCACACAUGCUCCUGAAUGCAUGAACGUCAGUCAGCUCUGGGUCCUCGAGAUGACAAAACCCCCUGCUCCUGCGUCCUCAUGGGGAUCUGCACCAGCACUGGGCUGAACCUCCCCCUGCAAUCCCUCAGUCACGUCUCUUGUAGCAUUUUCUUUCUGGCAACAACAUUUGGGGUCAUUAAAAGUGUUUUUGAAACGCAACCUUUUAAUUACAGGAAGAAUACUGCC
This 656-nucleotide long non-coding RNA is filed under the name Macaca nemestrina (pig-tailed macaque). RNAcentral's name for it is "lncRNA (ENSMNEG00000045738.1)". The record is from RNAcentral. Lineage: Eukaryota; Metazoa; Chordata; Mammalia; Primates; Cercopithecidae.